UGGGGAAUUUUGGACAAUGGGCGAAAGCCUGAUCCAGCAAUGCCGCGUGUGUGAAGAAGGCCUUCGGGUUGUAAAGCACUUUUGUCCGGAAAGAAAUCCUUGGCUCUAAUACAGUCGGGGGAUGACGGUACCGGAAGAAUAAGCACCGGCUAACUACGUGCCAGCAGCCGCGGUAAUACGUAGGGUGCAAGCGUUAAUCGGAAUUACUGGGCGUAAAGCGUGCGCAGGCGGUUUGCUAAGACCGAUGUGAAAUCCCCGGGCUCAACCUGGGAACUGCAUUGGUGACUGGCAGGCUAGAGUAUGGCAGAGGGGGGUAGAAUUCCACGUGUAGCAGUGAAAUGCGUAGAGAUGUGGAGGAAUACCGAUGGCGAAGGCAGCCCCCAUGGGCCAAUACUGACGCUCAUGCACGAAAGCGUGGGGAGCAAACAGGAUUAGAUACCCUGGUAGUCCACGCCCUAAACGAUGUCAACUAGUUGUUGGGGAUUCAUUUCCUUAGUAACGUAGCUAACGCGUGAAGUUGACCGCCUGGGGAGUACGGUCGCAAGAUUAAAACUCAAAGGAAUUGACGGGGUCAUA
This 576-nucleotide ribosomal RNA is filed under the name uncultured bacterium. RNAcentral describes it as "partial 16S ribosomal RNA". It matches the Rfam family "Bacterial small subunit ribosomal RNA", at positions 355 to 923 of the family's 1533-position model. The record is from RNAcentral.